AGUGAACGUUGGCGGCGUGGAUUAGGCAUGCAAGUCGAGCGAGAACCGUAGCAAUACGGGGACAGCGGCGAAAGGGACAGUAAUGUGUAGGUACCUACCACCGGGUUCGGGAUAGCUGCGGGAAACUGCAGGUAAUACCGAAUAACGUCUCCGGACCAAAGGUGUGAUUCCACCUGGAGAGGGGCCUGCAUCCUAGUAGCUUGUUGGCGGGGUAACGGCCCACCAAGGCGACGAUGGGUAGCGGGUGUGAGAGCACGACCCGCGUCAUUGGGACUGAGACACUGCCCAGACACCUACGGGUGGCCGCAGUCGUGAAUCUUCGGCAAUGGGCGCAAGCCUGACCGAGCGACGCCGCGUGCGGGAUGAAGGCCUUCGGGUUGUAAACCGCUGUCGUAGAGGAGGAAAUGCAGGGGGGUUCUCCCCUCUGUUUGACCUAUUCUAGGAGGAAGUACGGGCUAAGUUCGUGCCAGCCGCCGCCGUAA
RNAcentral lists this ribosomal RNA (482 nucleotides) under uncultured bacterium. RNAcentral's name for it is "partial 16S ribosomal RNA". It matches the Rfam family "Bacterial small subunit ribosomal RNA", at positions 28 to 523 of the family's 1533-position model. The record is from RNAcentral.